Molecule: ribosomal RNA, 473 nt
Filed under: Clostridioides difficile
Lineage: Bacteria; Bacillati; Bacillota; Clostridia; Peptostreptococcales; Peptostreptococcaceae
Description: bacterial SSU rRNA
Rfam family: Bacterial small subunit ribosomal RNA
Source: RNAcentral
UUUUAUUUGAGAGUUUGAUCCUGGCUCAGGAUGAACGCUGGCGGCGUGCCUAACACAUGCAAGUUGAGCGAUUUACUUCGGUAAAGAGCGGCGGACGGGUGAGUAACGCGUGGGUAACCUACCCUGUACACACGGAUAACAUACCGAAAGGUAUGCUAAUACGGGAUAAUAUAUUUGAGAGGCAUCUCUUGAAUAUCAAAGGUGAGCCAGUACAGGAUGGACCCGCGUCUGAUUAGCUAGUUGGUAAGGUAACGGCUUACCAAGGCGACGAUCAGUAGCCGACCUGAGAGGGUGAUCGGCCACAUUGGAACUGAGACACGGUCCAAACUCCUACGGGAGGCAGCAGUGGGGAAUAUUGCACAAUGGGCGAAAGCCUGAUGCAGCAACGCCGCGUGAGUGAUGAAGGCCUUCGGGUCGUAAAACUCUGUCCUCAAGGAAGAUAAUGACGGUACUUGAGGAGGAAGCCCCGGCUA